GUCCCCGUAGCUCAGUGGAUAGAGCAACCGCCUCCUAAGCGGUAGGUCGCAGGUUCAACUCCCGCCGGGGACACAA
This 76-nucleotide transfer RNA is filed under the name Candidatus Planktophila versatilis. RNAcentral's name for it is "tRNA-Arg". It matches the Rfam family "tRNA". Rfam says of the family: Transfer RNA (tRNA) molecules are approximately 80 nucleotides in length. Their secondary structure includes four short double-helical elements and three loops (D, anti-codon, and T loops). Further hydrogen bonds mediate the characteristic L-shaped molecular structure. tRNAs have two regions of fundamental functional importance: the anti-codon, which is responsible for specific mRNA codon recognition, and the 3' end, to which the tRNAs corresponding amino acid is attached (by aminoacyl-tRNA synthetases). tRNAs cope with the degeneracy of the genetic code in two manners: having more than one tRNA (with a specific anti-codon) for a particular amino acid; and 'wobble' base-pairing, i.e. permitting non-standard base-pairing at the 3rd anti-codon position. The record is from RNAcentral. Lineage: Bacteria; Bacillati; Actinomycetota; Actinomycetes; Candidatus Nanopelagicales; Candidatus Nanopelagicaceae.